GAAUUGUUCGCAAUGGGCGCAAGCCUGACGACGCAACGCCGCGUGGAGGAUGAAGAUCUUCGGGUCGUAAACUCCUGUCGAAUGGGACGAAUAGAUCGCGGGUGAACAGCCCGUGGUCCUGACGGUACCGGUAAAGGAAACCCCGGCCUACUCCGCUCCAGCCGCCGCGGUAAUACGGGGGGGGUAAGCGUUGUUCGGAAUUACUGGGCGUAAAGGGCUCGUAGGCGGCCAACUAAGUCAGACGUGAAAUCCCUCAGCUUAACUGGGGAACUGCGUCUGAUACUGGAUGGCUUGGAUCCGGGAGAGGGAUGCGGAAUUCCAGGUGUAGCGGUGAAAUGCGUAGAUAUCUGGAGGAACACCGGUGGCGAAGGCGGCAUCCUGGACCGGUAUUGACGCUGAGGAGCGAAAGCCAGGGGAGCAAACGGG
RNAcentral lists this ribosomal RNA (426 nucleotides) under uncultured bacterium. Its description in RNAcentral is "bacterial SSU rRNA". It matches the Rfam family "Bacterial small subunit ribosomal RNA", at positions 359 to 776 of the family's 1533-position model. The record is from RNAcentral.